GCCGGCAGCUAGCUCUCUGCAACUCUCACAUGGUCACCCACUGAAGCUAAGCAGGGCUGCGCCCGGUCAGUACCUGGAUGGGAGACCACAUGGGAAAGCUAGGUUGCUGCUGGAA
This 115-nucleotide ribosomal RNA is filed under the name Danio rerio (zebrafish). The record is from RNAcentral. Lineage: Eukaryota; Metazoa; Chordata; Actinopteri; Cypriniformes; Danionidae.